This 97-nucleotide ribosomal RNA is filed under the name uncultured bacterium. RNAcentral's name for it is "partial 16S ribosomal RNA". It matches the Rfam family "Bacterial small subunit ribosomal RNA", at positions 1386 to 1482 of the family's 1533-position model. The record is from RNAcentral.
CACACCGCCCGUCACACCAUGGGAGUCAGUUGCUCCAGAAGUGCUUGCCUAACCCGCAAGGGAGGGCGGCCCUAAGGAGUGGCUGGUGACUGGGGUG